RNAcentral lists this ribosomal RNA (474 nucleotides) under uncultured bacterium. RNAcentral's name for it is "bacterial SSU rRNA". It matches the Rfam family "Bacterial small subunit ribosomal RNA", at positions 328 to 793 of the family's 1533-position model. The record is from RNAcentral.
CGCUAUCACUCCUACGGGGAGGCAGCAGUAGGGAAUCUUCCACAAUGGGCGCAAGCCUGAUGGAGCAACACCGCGUGAGUGAAGAAGGGUUUCGGCUCGUAAAGCUCUGUUGUUAAAGAAGAACACGUAUGAGAGUAACUGUUCAUACGUUGACGGUAUUUAACCAGAAAGUCACGGCUAAUUACGUGCCAGCAGCCGCGGUAAUACGUAGGUGGCAAGCGUUAUCCGGAUUUAUUGGGCGUAAAGAGAGUGCAGGCGGUUUUCUAAGUCUGAUGUGAAAGCCUUCGGCUUAACCGGAGAAGUGCAUCGGAAACUGGAUAACUUGAGUGCAGAAGAGGGUAGUGGAACUCCAUGUGUAGCGGUGGAAUGCGUAGAUAUAUGGAAGAACACCAGUGGCGAAGGCGGCUACCUGGUCUGCAACUGACGCUGAGACUCGAAAGCAUGGGUAGCGAACAGGAUUAGAUACCCUGGUAG